This 445-nucleotide ribosomal RNA is filed under the name uncultured bacterium. Its description in RNAcentral is "partial 16S ribosomal RNA". It matches the Rfam family "Bacterial small subunit ribosomal RNA", at positions 354 to 796 of the family's 1533-position model. The record is from RNAcentral.
GUAGGGAAUAUUGGGCAAUGGAGGCAACUCUGACCCAGCCAUGCCGCGUGCAGGAUGACGGCCCUCUGGGUUGUAAACUGCUUUUAUACGGGAAGAAAAAAUACUACGUGUAGUAUACUGACGGUACCGUAAGAAUAAGGAUCGGCUAACUCCGUGCCAGCAGCCGCGGUAAUACGGAGGAUCCAAGCGUUGUCCGGAUUUAUUGGGUUUAAAGGGUGCGUAGGCGGAUCUUUAAGUCAGUGGUGAAAGCAUGCAGCUUAACUGUAGAAUUGACAUUGAAACUGAAGAUCUUGAAUGUGGUUAAAGUAGGCGGAAUGUAUCAUGUAGCGGUGAAAUGCUUAGAUAUGAUACAGAACACCGAUAGCGAAGGCAGCUUGCUGAACCAUUAUUGACGCUGAGGCACGAAAGCGUGGGGAGCGAACAGGAUUAGAUACCCUGGUAGUCC